GGGGAUGUAGCUCAGUGGUAGAGCGCAUGCUUUGCAUGUGUGAGGCCCCGGGUUCAAUCCCUUGCAUCUCAA
Molecule: transfer RNA, 72 nt
Organism: Astyanax mexicanus (Mexican tetra)
Lineage: Eukaryota; Metazoa; Chordata; Actinopteri; Characiformes; Acestrorhamphidae
Rfam family: tRNA
About the family: Transfer RNA (tRNA) molecules are approximately 80 nucleotides in length. Their secondary structure includes four short double-helical elements and three loops (D, anti-codon, and T loops).
Source: Rfam